RNA transcript from Sapajus apella (tufted capuchin), 1802 nucleotides. It is a transcript of the gene named ATP synthase subunit alpha, mitochondrial pseudogene, with no coding region annotated. The record is from RefSeq and is a predicted model, not a curated record. The transcript has a single exon. NCBI's taxonomy places the organism in Eukaryota, Metazoa, Chordata, Mammalia, Primates, Cebidae.
AUGCUGCGGCUGCGGAGGUACAGCCUGCGGAGAAACUGCAAAGACGCUGUCAGUGCACGUUGUCGCGGCUGUGGCGCGUGCCCUCCCUUGGCAGGCCGGACUUGUCUCCAGAAAUGCCUUGGGUUCAUCUUUCACUGCUGCAAGGAAUUUCCAUACCUCUAACACUCAUCUUCAGAAGACAGACUGCUGAGAUGUCCUCUAUUCUUGAAAGCAUAUUCUUGGAGCUGAUACCUCUGUUGACCUUGAAGAAACUGGGCUUAAGUAUCGGUGAUGGUAUUGCCCAUGUGCAUGGGCUGAGGAAUGUUCAAGCAGAAAAAAUGGCAGAAUUUUCUUCAGGCUUAAAGAUUAUGUCCUUGAACUUGGAAACUGACAAUGUUGGUGUUGUCAUUGGAAACAAUAAACUAAUUAAGGAAGGGGAUAUAGGGAAGAGGACAGGAGUCACUGUGGACGCUCCAGCUGCUGAGGAGCUGUUGGGUGAUGUCAUUGAUGCCCUUGGCAAUGCUACUGAUGGAAAGGGUCCAAUUGGUUCCAAUACCCAUAGGUGAGUUGGUAUGAAAGCCCCCAGAAUCAUUCCUCAAGUUUCAGUGCAGAAAUCAACGUACACUGGCAUUAAGGUUAUGGAUAGCUUGGUACCAAUUGGCCGUGGCCAGUGUGAGCCAAUAGACUGGGAAAACUUCAAUUGCUAUUGACACAGUCAUUAACCAGAAAUAUUUCAAUGAUGGAUCUGAUGAAAAGAAGCUGUACUGUAUCUAUGUUGCUAUUGAUCCAAAGAGAUCCACUCUUGCCCAGUUGGUGAAGACACUUAGAGAGGCAGAUGCUAUGAAUUGCACCAUUGUGGUGUCAGCUAUGGCCUUGGUUGCUGUCCCACUUCAGUGCCUGCCUCCCUACUCUGGCUGUUACAUAGGAGAGUAUUUUAGAGGCAAUGGCAAACAUGCUUUGAUCAUCUACGAUGACUUAUUCAAACAGGCUGUUACUUACCGUCAGAUGUCUCUGUUACUCCACUGACCCCCUGGUCAUGAGGUGUAUCCUGGUGAUGUGUUCUACCCAUAUUACUGGUUGCUGGAGAAAGCAACCAAGAUGAACAAUGCUUUUGGCUCCUUGACUGCUUUGCCAGUCAUAGAGACACAGGCUGGUGAUGUGUCUGCUUACAUUCCAACGAAAGUCAUUUCCAUCACUGACAGACAGAUCAUUUUGGGAACAGAAUUGUUCUACAGAGGUAUCCACCCUACCAUUAAUGUUGGUCUGUCUGUGUCUCGUGUCGGAUCUGCUGCCCAAACCAGGGCUAUGAAGCAGGUGGCAGUUACCAUAAAGCUGGAAUUGGCUUAGUAUCGCGAGGUUGCUGCUUUUGCCCGAUUUGGUUCUGACCUCAAUGCUGCCACUCAACAGCUUUUGAGUCAUGGUGUGCAUCUGAGUUGAUGAAGCCAGGACAGUAUUCUCCCAUGGCUACUGAAGAACAAGUGGCUGUUAUCUAUGCGGGUGUAAGGAGGUAUCUUGAUAAACAGGAGCCCAGCAAGAUUACAAAGUUUGAGAAUGCUUUUUUGUCUCAUGUUGUCACUCAGCACCAAGCCCUGCUAGGCACUAUCAGGGUUGAUGGAAAGAUCUCAGAAGAAUCAGAUGCAAAGUUGAAAGUGAUUUUAGCAAACUUCUUUUCUGGAUUUGAAGCUUAAACUCCUAAGGAUUCACAUCAAAUACCUGCCCAGUUUUGUCAUUGUUUGUUCUAGGAAAUUAGUUUUAUUUGUAGAAGGGUUACUCUCAUACUCUUUAUACACAGAAAUCACAUGAAAAAUAAAGGUCAAGAAAAA